This 252-nucleotide ribosomal RNA is filed under the name uncultured bacterium. Its description in RNAcentral is "partial 16S ribosomal RNA". It matches the Rfam family "Bacterial small subunit ribosomal RNA", at positions 524 to 776 of the family's 1533-position model. The record is from RNAcentral.
UACAUAGGUCCCGAGCGUUGUCCGGAUUUAUUGGGCGUAAAGCGAGCGCAGGUGGUUUAUUAAGUCUGGUGUAAAAGGCAGUGGCUCAACCAUUGUAUGCAUUGGAAACUGGUAGACUUGAGUGCAGGAGAGGAGAGUGGAAUUCUAUGUGUAGCGGUGAAAUGCGUAGAUAUAUGGAGGAACACCGGUGGCGAAAGCGGCUCUCUGGCCUGUAACUGACACUGAGGCUCGAAAGCGUGGGGAGCAAACAGG